AUGAACCAUUCAUGGAGCAAGCAUUUCACGGUCAUACACUCAUCAACUCCACUUACAAGAGUACCACCCAUUAAUAGCCUUUGUUCCCCGGUGAUGAUGACCAAGUACAUGAGGAACAAUGUGCAAGGACUUGUGCUACUUUCUUUUCUUCUUGUGGUGUGUUUGACUUGUCUCGGAGGCACAUAUGGCGAAAUCAUAAAUGACAAGGGGAGCAACAUGAUGAGGAAAGUAAGCCAUGUAACGAGACCCCCUUGUUAUAAAGAUGGGCACCAGCUCCCAGGAAGGGAAUUCUGCUGUAAAAUAGAUAACUUUUGUUGGCCAAAUCUUGGAGAAUGCUUCAUCAACUGUCCCUGCAAGAUUAAUUGCACACCAGCAGCAGCAGCAACACAAUAG
This 393-nucleotide ribosomal RNA is filed under the name Triticum aestivum (bread wheat). Its description in RNAcentral is "partial small subunit ribosomal RNA". Lineage: Eukaryota; Viridiplantae; Streptophyta; Magnoliopsida; Poales; Poaceae. The record is from RNAcentral.